GCAACCGUAGCGUAGAGGUAAGCAUGUCAGCCUAUGACGCUGAACGUCUGGGUUCGAAUCCCGACGAGAGCA
Molecule: non-coding RNA, 72 nt
Organism: Stomoxys calcitrans (stable fly)
Lineage: Eukaryota; Metazoa; Arthropoda; Insecta; Diptera; Muscidae
Source: Rfam